RNAcentral lists this unclassified non-coding RNA (441 nucleotides) under Hevea brasiliensis (rubber tree). The record is from RNAcentral. Lineage: Eukaryota; Viridiplantae; Streptophyta; Magnoliopsida; Malpighiales; Euphorbiaceae.
GUUUGAUAUUGAUUUUAUUUGUAUUUUUAAUAUUAUUGAUUUAUAUUCAAGGAAUACUCAUACAUUCACUUAUAUUUAUUUAUAUAAUUAAUUAAAUGUUAGGUACGUUCCUUUGCUGCAUGUGUUAUUAAAUUUAUUUGUGAAUAUCGCGUUAAGAUAAAUUAGAGCUCUGCGUGUGUUGGCUUGAGUAUAGUGUGGAUAUGAAUAUGGUUAGAAUGGGUAGUCGCAUCCUUAUUUAUGGAUAAGUUGGGGUAAGCAUGGCUUUGAAUUGAUCUCGCUGGCUCUCACACUUAGAUUAUUAAGUGAAAGUCUAGUUUGACUUAAUUUUGCUAGCAUGUAUUGGAUUAGUUGUAAAGGGAAUCAUGUCUCAUAUAUGUAUUGAUAUGACACAUAGGUGUGUGCGUACUCUAAAUUAUUUUUUGUACGAAUAUUGGUUGAAUU